CCUGCGGAGGGAUCAUUACUGAGUGAGGGCCCCCGGGUCCGACCUCCAACCCUUCUGUGAACCACCUCGUUGCUUUGGGGGCGACCCCGCCGUUCGCGGCGCGGGGCCCCCGGAGCCCAUCAAACCCUGCGUAACCACGUCGUCGGAGUUUAAACAAAUCAAUCAAAACUUUCAACAACGGAUCUCUUGGUUCGGGCAUCGAUGAAGAACGCAGCGAAAUGCGAUAAGUAAUGUGAAUUGCAGAAUUCAGUGAAUCAUCGAAUCUUUGAACGCACAUUGCGCCCCCUGGUAUUCCGGGGGGCAUGCCUGUCCGAGCGUCAUUACACCAAUCGAGCCUGGCUCGGUGUUGGGCGUCGCGGGUCUCCGGACCCGCGCGCCUCAAAGUCUCACCGGCUGAGCGGCGUCGUCUCUAAGCGUUGUGGAAACUAUUCGCAGAGGGACGGGGCGGUGCGGCCGUUAAACACCCCAUCAAAGGUUGACCUCGGAUCAGGUAGGGAUACCCGCUGAAC
This 509-nucleotide ribosomal RNA is filed under the name Zasmidium lonicericola. Its description in RNAcentral is "eukaryotic LSU rRNA". The stretch from base 167 to 320 matches the Rfam family "5.8S ribosomal RNA". The record is from RNAcentral. Lineage: Eukaryota; Fungi; Ascomycota; Dothideomycetes; Mycosphaerellales; Mycosphaerellaceae.